RNAcentral lists this ribosomal RNA (468 nucleotides) under uncultured bacterium. RNAcentral's name for it is "partial 16S ribosomal RNA". It matches the Rfam family "Bacterial small subunit ribosomal RNA", at positions 28 to 507 of the family's 1533-position model. The record is from RNAcentral.
GACGAACGCUGGCGGCGUGCUUAACACAUGCAAGUCGAACGGAAAGGCCCUGCUUUUGUGGGGUGCUCGAGUGGCGAACGUGUGAGUAACACGUGAGUAACCUGCCCUUGACUUUGGGAUAACUUCAGGAAACUGGGGCUAAUACCGGAUAGGAGCUCCUGCUGCAUGGUGGGGGUUGGAAAGUUUCGGCGGUUGGGGAUGGACUCGCGGCUUAUCAGCUUGUUGGUGGGGUAGUGGCUUACCAAGGCUUUGACGGGUAGCCGGCCUGAGAGGGUGACCGGCCACAUUGGGACUGAGAUACGGCACAGACUCCUACGGGAGGCAGCAGUGGGGAAUAAUGCACAAUGGGCGGAAGCCUGAUGCAGCAACGCCGCGUGCGGGAUGACGGCCUUCGGGUUGUAAACCGCUUUCGCCUGUGACGAAGCGUGAGUGACGGUAAUGGGUAAAGAAGCACCGGCUAACUACGUG